This is a long non-coding RNA of Alligator mississippiensis (American alligator), 1116 nucleotides long. RefSeq lists it as uncharacterized. The record is from RefSeq and is a predicted model, not a curated record. Lineage: Eukaryota; Metazoa; Chordata; Crocodylia; Alligatoridae. The transcript is spliced from 6 exons.
GUGAGUGCAGUGGAAAACCUUGGGUUGAAGGCUGCAAGACCCAGGAUUCCAUCUCCUGCUUGGAAAGUUCUUUUGUGGUGGAAGAGAAAAAAUGUUGAGCAGUGUAGAGCCUAAAGGGUUUAAGUAGUCUCUUAAAUAUCCUAGGCCAAGGACACAGAGAUACUUGAAGACAAGAGCCAAGGACUGGAUUCAUGAAACCAUCUUGGUGUAGUGAUGCUGAUGAUGUCCAGCCCAAAGCAUGGGAUUCACAGCAGACAAUAUGCUACGCAGGGCCAUGCAUAGGCCAGCAAAAAGGAAGAUAUAAGCAACUGCAACCAAAGUCAGUAGGCAAACUGAGAACGGUUACAUAAGGCUAUUGUAGACACUGCAACUAAUCCAUCUUCCUCACAUUGGGACCUUCUGAUCGUCCAAAACAGGGUGCCUCUGCUGUCGGCACUGCCAGCUGGGGGUUCCAGAGGAGGGUCUUAACAAGCAGAUCGGUGCCCUGGGACUCUUGCAGUUUGCACAGACAAGGGGAAUUGUCUAAUUGUCUUGCCCUUCAAGUCAUUAUGAAACAUUUCAGUCAAAGACUGUCACUCACCAUGAGAAAAUAUAAGAAUCAAUCUUCAAACAGAAGACAAGAUGCUUCCACUCAGAAAAUAAUUAAGUUAUCAACUCACUUCCUGAAAAUCAAAGAAGUCUGCUUGGCUAGUCAGUCGUUACUCCGUGAAUUGAGCCCAAUUUGGGGGCAGGAAACAGAGCCUCUCCUCAGAUCUCAUAUUUUUCCUUAACCCAAAUACAGCUGUCUCUCCUCUGACCCUUGACUUUUAUUAACCAACUAUCAAGAAGGAAUGCUUUGAAGCGAUACAAUUAAAACAGUAUACAAAGCAAAGCAAGACAGAACUGCUAGCAAGGUGUGUGCAGUCCAGUGAAGAUCAAGAAGCCAUCCUGCCAUCCAGCCAUGAGUGAAGGACCCACGUGCUGUGAAAGCUGACAUAAACUGCUUCCUGCCUGCUUGGGUAAAGAUCUCUUGCAGCUAAGAUAAUACAAAGAUUAAUAGCUCAUUUACUGAAUAUUAAGGAAAAGUAUUUUGUUUGUUCUGUCAUUUAGUUUUAUAGUUUGUUGGUGGUUAGUAAA